This 253-nucleotide ribosomal RNA is filed under the name uncultured bacterium. RNAcentral describes it as "partial 16S ribosomal RNA". It matches the Rfam family "Bacterial small subunit ribosomal RNA", at positions 524 to 776 of the family's 1533-position model. The record is from RNAcentral.
UACGAAGGGGGCUAGCGUUGUUCGGAAUCACUGGGCGUAAAGGGCGCGUAGGCGGCUGUUCAAGUCGGGGGUGAAAUCCUGUGGCUCAACCACAGAAUGGCCUUCGAUACUGGACGGCUAGAGACCGGAAGAGGUGAGUGGAACUGCGAGUGUAGAGGUGAAAUUCGUAGAUAUUCGGAAGAACACCAGUGGCGAAGGCGGCUCACUGGUCCGGUACUGACGCUGAUGUGCGAAAGCGUGGGGAGCAAACAGG